RNAcentral lists this non-coding RNA (97 nucleotides) under Candidatus Uhriibacteriota. RNAcentral's name for it is "Candidatus Uhrbacteria SAM-I sequence". It matches the Rfam family "SAM riboswitch aptamer (S box leader)". Rfam says of the family: The SAM riboswitch is found upstream of a number of genes which code for proteins involved in methionine or cysteine biosynthesis in Gram-positive bacteria. The SAM riboswitch acts at the level of transcription termination control. The record is from RNAcentral.
CGAGUAUCAAGAGUUCGGUGAGGGAUACGGCCCCGUGACCCGACGGCAACCUACGCUCGCAAGGUGCCAAUUCCGUCCCAAUCGGGAAAGAUAAUUA